Molecule: long non-coding RNA, 259 nt
Filed under: Capsella grandiflora
Lineage: Eukaryota; Viridiplantae; Streptophyta; Magnoliopsida; Brassicales; Brassicaceae
Description: long non-coding RNA (CGRA_LNC000514)
Source: RNAcentral
GCAAAGCUGGCCCUGCUUCUCUGGUGGUGUAGUGGUGUGGCUGAUUCUCCUUUGAUGCUCUCGUGGUCGUGACUCCGGAUCUAGAAGCUUCUUUUGCCGUCAUACGAUUGUUGAAGACUCAGUGGUUAGGCUUAAGGUGGCUGGCUCACAGAAACAUGUCCGAUUUCGUGGAGGGCGGCGGAAUUCUAGGAUUGGAUCGGUGGGUUUUCACCUUUGUUGAGGCGAUUAGCGGAAGAUUGCUCAGAUCUGUCAUGGCUGA